Regulatory RNA element from Novosphingobium sp. AAP83, 101 nucleotides. It matches the Rfam family "Glycine riboswitch aptamer". Rfam says of the family: This family represents the bacterial glycine riboswitch. The record is from Rfam. Lineage: Bacteria; Pseudomonadati; Pseudomonadota; Alphaproteobacteria; Sphingomonadales; Sphingomonadaceae.
GCUGAUCGCGCGGGAGAGUUCUCUCGAUUCGUUCAGAAUCGGGAGACGCCGAAGGAGCAACCGCCCCGGAAUCUCUCAGGCACAUGGACCGCGUGGGUCGA